GAUCCUGGCUCAGGAUGAACGCUGGCGGCGUGCUUAACACAUGCAAGUCGAACGGGACGCCAAGGAAAGAGUUUUCGGACAAUGGAAUUGGUUGUUUAGUGGCGGACGGGUGAGUAACGCGUGAGUAACCUGCCUUGGAGUGGGGAAUAACACAGUGAAAAUUGUGCUAAUACCGCAUGAUAUAUUGGUGUCGCAUGGCACUGAUAUCAAAGAUUUAUCGCUCUGAGAUGG
RNAcentral lists this ribosomal RNA (231 nucleotides) under uncultured bacterium. RNAcentral describes it as "partial 16S ribosomal RNA". It matches the Rfam family "Bacterial small subunit ribosomal RNA", at positions 15 to 228 of the family's 1533-position model. The record is from RNAcentral.